GACGAACGCUGGCGGCGUGCUUAACACAUGCAAGUCGAACGGAAAGGCCCCCUUGUGGGGUACUCGAGUGGCGAACGGGUGAGUAACACGUGAGUAACCUACCCUUGACUUUGGGAUAACUUCAGGAAACUGGGGCUAAUACCGGAUAGGAGCUCCUGCUGCAUGGUGGGGGUUGGAAAGUUUCGGCGGUUGGGGAUGGACUCGCGGCUUAUCAGCUUGUUGGUGGGGUAGUGGCUCACCAAGGCUUUGACGGGUAGCCGGCCUGAGAGGGUGACCGGCCACAUGGGGACGGGGAUACGGCCCAGACUCCUACGGGAGGCAGCAGGGGGGAAUAUUGCACAAGGGGCGGAAGCCUGAUGCAGAAACGCCGGGUGGGGGAGGACGGCCUUCGGGUUGUAAACCGCUUUCGCCUGUGACGAAGGGUGGGUGACGGUAAUGGGUAAAAAAGCACCGGCUAACUACGU
This 464-nucleotide ribosomal RNA is filed under the name uncultured bacterium. RNAcentral describes it as "partial 16S ribosomal RNA". It matches the Rfam family "Bacterial small subunit ribosomal RNA", at positions 28 to 506 of the family's 1533-position model. The record is from RNAcentral.